Molecule: ribosomal RNA, 693 nt
Filed under: Blastosporella zonata
Lineage: Eukaryota; Fungi; Basidiomycota; Agaricomycetes; Agaricales; Lyophyllaceae
Description: partial large subunit ribosomal RNA
Rfam family: Eukaryotic large subunit ribosomal RNA
Source: RNAcentral
GGAUUCCCCUAGUAACUGCGAGUGAAGCGGGAAAAGCUCAAAUUUAAAAUCUGGUAGUCUUCGGCUGCCCGAGUUGUAAUCUAGAGAAGCAUUAUCCGCGCUGGACCGUGUACAAGUCUCCUGGAACGGAGCGUCAUAGAGGGUGAGAAUCCCGUCUUUGACACGGACUACCAGGGCUUUGUGAUGUGCUCUCAAAGAGUCGAGUUGUUUGGGAAUGCAGCUCUAAAUGGGUGGUAAAUUCCAUCUAAAGCUAAAUAUUGGCGAGAGACCGAUAGCGAACAAGUACCGUGAGGGAAAGAUGAAAAGAACUUUGGAAAGAGAGUUAAACAGUACGUGAAAUUGUUGAAAGGGAAACGCUUGAAGUCAGUCGCGUUUGCUGGGGAUCAACCUUGCUUCUUGCUUGGCUUACUUCCCAGUAGACGGGUCAGCAUCAAUUUUGACCGGUGGAUAAAGGCUAAGAGAAUGUGGCAUCUUCGGGUGUGUUAUAGCUCUUGGUCGCAUACAUCGGUUGGGAUUGAGGAACUCAGCACGCCGCAAGGCCGGGUCUUUGACCACGUUCGUGCUUAGGAUGCUGGCAUAAUGGCUUUAAUCGACCCGUCUUGAAACACGGACCAAGGAGUCUAACAUGCCCGCGAGUGUUUGGGUGGAAAACCCGAGCGCGUAAUGAAAGUGAAAGUUGAGAUCCCUGUCGUG